Molecule: ribosomal RNA, 468 nt
Filed under: uncultured bacterium
Lineage: Bacteria
Description: partial 16S ribosomal RNA
Rfam family: Bacterial small subunit ribosomal RNA
Source: RNAcentral
GACGAACGCUGGCGGCGUGCUUAACACGUGCAAGUCGAACGGAAAGGCCCUGCUUUUGUGGGGUGCUCGAGUGGCGAACGGGUGAGUAACACGUGAGUAACCUGCCCUUGACUUUGGGAUAACUUCAGGAAACUGGGGCUAAUACCGGAUAGGAGCUCCUGCUGCAUGGUGGGGUUUGGAAAGUUUCGGCGGUUGGGGAUGGACUCGCGGCUUAUCAGCUUGUUGGUGGGGUAGUGGCUUACCAAGGCUUUGACGGGUAGCCGGCCUGAGAGGGUGACCGGCCACAUUGGGACCGAGAAACGGGCCAGAAUCCUACGGGAGGCAGCAGUGGGGAAUAUUGCAAAAUGGGCGGAAGCCUGAUGCAGCAACGCCGCGUGCGGGAUGACGGCCUUCGGGUUGUAAACCGCUUUCGCCUGUGACGAAGCGUGAGUGACGGUAAUGGGUAAAGAAGCACCGGCUAACUACGUG